Molecule: ribozyme, 175 nt
Filed under: Anopheles gambiae (African malaria mosquito)
Lineage: Eukaryota; Metazoa; Arthropoda; Insecta; Diptera; Culicidae
Description: drz-agam-2-2 ribozyme
Rfam family: drz-agam-2-2 ribozyme
Source: Rfam by way of RNAcentral
AUUCUUCUGUGCUCUGCAAUGGGAUAGGAUCCGAAGCCCUUCUGAGGGAUAAUAUAGGCUCUCCUAUUUAACUCCUAUCCGGACACGUGCAGAGUGGUAGCAUGCGUCAUCACAUAUUCAAACUUGGGUACACGUACUAAUUAAAACCCCUCGAAAACAGCGUCGUAAUAAGGGA